Molecule: ribosomal RNA, 497 nt
Filed under: uncultured bacterium
Lineage: Bacteria
Description: partial 16S ribosomal RNA
Rfam family: Bacterial small subunit ribosomal RNA
Source: RNAcentral
GAUGAACGCUGGCGGCGUGCCUAAUACAUGCAAGUCGAGCGAACAGACGAGGAGCUUGCUCCUCUGACGUUAGCGGCGGACGGGUGAGUAACACGUGGAUAACCUACCUAUAAGACUGGGAUAACUUCGGGAAACCGGAGCUAAUAUCGGAUAAUAUAUUGAACCGCAUGGUUCAAUAGUGAAAGACGGUUUUGCUGUCACUUAUAGAUGGAUCCGCGCCGCAUUAGCUAGUUGGUAAGGUAACGGCUUACCAAGGCAACGAUGCGUAGCCGACCUGAGAGGGUGAUCGGCCACACUGGAACUGAGACACGGUCCAGACUCCUACGGGAGGCAGCAGUAGGGAAUCUUCCGCAAUGGGCGAAAGCCUGACGGAGCAACGCCGCGUGAGUGAUGAAGGUCUUCGGAUCGUAAAACUCUGUUAUUAGGGAAGAACAAAUGUGUAAGUAACUAUGCACGUCUUGACGGUACCUAAUCAGAAAGCCGCGGCUAACUACGUG